GGCGCGAGAUGGGAAGGGGGCGGUGUCCCAGAUUUCAGAUGGACGCCCGCCACCCAUUAAAGCCCACUUCAGGGGGACUGGAGGCCUAGAAGCGAUGUGCAUAACGGAUCGGCAAAGAAGGCUAAAGGUGCUAGAUGGAGGGAAAAACACCAGGAUGGGGCACGGUCUCUGUCCUAAAGGGAUUGAAGGCUCACCUUUGGAUACCACUGAAGAUGCGACAUGCAUAGGACUGCACCAAAAGAUGACACAUGUGCCCACUGCACCGCACUCUACUCAAACCUACAGAAUCAAGAGGAAGGGUCCUUGGGAAAGGGACAAGAUAGGGGCUUUGGCCAGGCUCGGACUCUCUGCGUGACCUGGGGUGAUGCUGGUGCACCCUGAAGUUUGAGAACUACUGCACUGGAGCUGCGCUACCCAUUACUAUAGCCACCAGCCCCACGUGGCAUGAACUCUUGCAGUGUGGCUAGUCCGAACUUGAGAUGUGCUGUAAGUGUAAAAUACACAUCAGAUUUCCAAGACUUAGAAAAAAAGAAUAUAAAAUAAUUCAUCAGUAAUCUUUUAUGUUGAU
Symphalangus syndactylus (siamang) is the source of this 568-nucleotide long non-coding RNA. RefSeq lists it as uncharacterized. The record is from RefSeq and is a predicted model, not a curated record. NCBI's taxonomy places the organism in Eukaryota, Metazoa, Chordata, Mammalia, Primates, Hylobatidae.